GCGAACAUGGUAUAAUGGAUAUUACCUCAACCUUCCAAGUUGAAGAUGUGGGUUCAAUUCCCACUGUUCGCU
Molecule: transfer RNA, 72 nt
Filed under: Buchnera aphidicola (Sipha maydis)
Lineage: Bacteria; Pseudomonadati; Pseudomonadota; Gammaproteobacteria; Enterobacterales; Erwiniaceae
Description: transfer RNA Glycine
Rfam family: tRNA
About the family: Transfer RNA (tRNA) molecules are approximately 80 nucleotides in length. Their secondary structure includes four short double-helical elements and three loops (D, anti-codon, and T loops).
Source: RNAcentral